AUCUAGGCAAGUCUAGACAAAUAUUUCAUCACAGCUUGAAAGAGCAUCACAAAAUUAGUAAUAUUCCAAAGUUUCGUUGCGAAAUGUUGUAAAAUGAGGAAAAUAGAGCCUUGCGAAGUUUGCAAUUUUCAGUCAUUUUGCAUUACAACCGGGAAAUUGCAGCCCCAACACCCGAAUCGGAUGUCAAUUUCCCGUUUGUAAUACAAAAUGACUGAAAAACGGCAAACUUCGCAAGGCUAUAUUAUCCGCAUUUCACAAGAUUUUGCAACAAAACUUUGGAAUAUUACUAAUUUUGUGAUGCUCUUUCAAGCUGUGAUGAAAUUUUUGUCCAGAUCGAAAUUUUAGUUAUAAGGGGAAAGGUCCAUU
Paramuricea clavata is the source of this 366-nucleotide non-coding RNA. The record is from the annotation of a GenBank genome assembly. NCBI's taxonomy places the organism in Eukaryota, Metazoa, Cnidaria, Anthozoa, Malacalcyonacea, Plexauridae.